AUGUACUGUAACAACAAACCAGAUCGAAGGGCCGAUCAAUUGGUUCAAGCAGAGAUUCGGAGGAGAAAUUAUCACCUUGCUCUGCUGAAUCUGCUUGAGGCUGUCGUAGGUGCAGAUCUCACGGCCUCGCGGAGGGAGGCGAGCGGGCGCAGAGCUCGCGGCCUGGCGGUUCACCUUGUUAUGCGCACUGGCCUUGGCCUCGUCCUCCGCCGUUGUCGCCUCGUCGUGCUCGUCGUCUUCAGGGAAGGCAAGCGGGGUGUCCGGGCUGGCGAUGCCCUCCUAUCUUCAUCGGCCGGCGCCAGCCCCACGCGGGGAUCUCCGGCCGCACCUGCUGCCGCUGCUCCUUCUGCUGCUGCUGGCGGCGGCGGUGGCUGGCCCGCUCGAUGGACGGCAGGUCCGAGAAAAUGGCGGCCACCUCCACCUUGCGCUCGCCGAACUUCUCCUGCGCGCGUCCGCUCCAGCCGCAGCGGCCGCCUUGGAUCUCUGUGA
Molecule: ribosomal RNA, 489 nt
Filed under: Triticum aestivum (bread wheat)
Lineage: Eukaryota; Viridiplantae; Streptophyta; Magnoliopsida; Poales; Poaceae
Description: partial small subunit ribosomal RNA
Source: RNAcentral